This 72-nucleotide transfer RNA is filed under the name Phaeocystis globosa. RNAcentral's name for it is "tRNA-Arg". It matches the Rfam family "tRNA". From Rfam's summary of the family: Transfer RNA (tRNA) molecules are approximately 80 nucleotides in length. Their secondary structure includes four short double-helical elements and three loops (D, anti-codon, and T loops). Further hydrogen bonds mediate the characteristic L-shaped molecular structure. tRNAs have two regions of fundamental functional importance: the anti-codon, which is responsible for specific mRNA codon recognition, and the 3' end, to which the tRNAs corresponding amino acid is attached (by aminoacyl-tRNA synthetases). tRNAs cope with the degeneracy of the genetic code in two manners: having more than one tRNA (with a specific anti-codon) for a particular amino acid; and 'wobble' base-pairing, i.e. permitting non-standard base-pairing at the 3rd anti-codon position. Lineage: Eukaryota; Haptophyta; Phaeocystales; Phaeocystaceae. The record is from RNAcentral.
UCGUUUUUAGCUUAAGGGAUAAAGCUUUGAUUUUCUAUGUCAUUUAUAAAGGUUCGAAUCCUUUAAAACGAU